This 2786-nucleotide long non-coding RNA is filed under the name Homo sapiens (human). Its description in RNAcentral is "HSALNT0282843". Lineage: Eukaryota; Metazoa; Chordata; Mammalia; Primates; Hominidae. The record is from RNAcentral.
GUCAAUUACACUUCAAAAGCUGGGGUAGAAAACGGUGAUACAUAUACAAUGGGGUAUGAUUCAGUCUUAAAUGGAAGGAAAUUGUGAACUGUUACAACAUGGAUGAACCUUGAAAACGUUAUGCUAAGUGAAAUAAGCCAGUCGCAAAAACAGAAAUAUUAUAUGAUUCCACUUAUUUGUGAUUCCUAGAAUAGUCAAAUUCUUAAAGAUAGAAAGCAAAACGGUGUUUACCAGGGACUGGAGGGAAAGGAGAAUGGGGAGCUAGUGUUUAGAGAGUACAGAGUUUCAUUUGGUGAAGAUGAAAAAGUUCUGGAGAUAGAUGCACUGAUGGUUCACAACAAUGUGAAUGAACUUAAUGUCACAGAACUGUUCUCCUAAAAAUGGUUAAAAUGGUAAAUUUUUCUUUACGUAUUUUUUACCACAACAAAAAAGAAGGCGGGAUUUAAAAAGGGGUAGAGAAACACAAAACACAUGAGAUAAAUAGAAACAAAUAAUUUAAUGGCAUACAUAAAUUCAACUAUAUCAACAAUAUAUAAAAUAUAAAUAAGGAUUUGAAUCAUAGAAGGUGCAUUCAUCCAAAAAAUUAAAAUGAUAAAUUAUAAAUCAACAACAGAAGGAAAUUUGGAAAUUCUACAAAUAUUUGGAAUUAAACAACAUACUUCUAUGUAAUCCAUGGACAAAAGAAAUCACAAGGAAAAUUUAAAAUAUAUUGAGCUGAAUAAAACAGAACAAACUCAUCUAUUUCACAAGAGAAGAAAGAUCUCCCAUCAAUAACCUAAACUUGUACUUUAGUAAAUGAGAAACAGAACACACUGAACCCAAAGCAAACCAAAUGAAGGAAAUAAUGAAAAUUAGAGCAGGAAUCUACAAAAUAGAAAACAGAAUAACAAUAGAGAAAGUCAAUGAAACCAAAAGCUGAUUCUUCAAAAAGAUCAACAAAUUUGACAAAACUUUAGGUAAACUAACCAAGAAACAAAGACAGACAACACAAAUUAUCAAAUCUGAAUGAAAGAAGAGACAUCACUACUGACCUUACUGAAAAAAAGUUAAAAAGAUUAUAAGCAAAUUCUAUGAACAAUUUUAUGACAUCAAAUUAAAUAACUUGAAAAAUACAAAUACAUUCAACACAAAUUACCAAAACUAACUCAGGAAGAAAUGCAAUAAAUAGAAAAUCUAACAGAAAUUUAACAAGAUACCGAAUCAGGAAUCUUGCCUCAAAGAAAAGCCCAAGCCCAGCUUGCUUUGCUGCUGAAUUGUAACAAACAUUUAAAGAAUAAACAAUAACAAUCUUUCACAAAUUCUUCCAAAAAAUAAAAGUAACACUUCCCAACUUAUUCUAUAAGGCUAGCAUUAUUCUGAUACCAAAAACAGACAGAGACAUCACAAGAAAACUAUAUACAAAUAUACCUUUUGAAUAGACAUAAAAAUUCUCAAGAAAGUAGUAGCAAAAUGAAUCCAGUGGCAUAUGAAACGUAUUAUACACUAUGUCCAAGUGCUAUUUACUCCACGAACAUGUAAGGUUGGUUUAACAUUCAAAGAUCAAUUAAUGCAAUACGCUAUAUUGGUAGAAUUAAAAGAAAACCUAUAUAAUCAUCUCGAUAAAUGCAGAAAAAGCAUGUAACAAAUGCAACACUCAAUCGUGAUAAAAAAAUUUCUCAACAAACUAAAAAUAAAAUGGAACUUCCUCAGCCUGAUAAAGGGCAUCUACAAAACCUACAAUAGACAUUAUAUUUAAUAGUAAGAGACUCGGUAUUUUCCUCCUAAGGUUGGAAAUAAGUCAAGGGUGUCUGCUUUCACCACUUCUACACAACAUUGUCCUAGUCAGUAUAGUGAGUUGAGAAAAAGAAAUGAAAAGCACAUCGAUUGUAAAGGAAGAUGUAAAACCAUUUUAUUCACAGAUGAUAUGAUCCAGCCAAACUGAAAAAACUUAUGCCCUGAACCUGCUUAACAAAUCAUAAAAGCAUGACCCAAAACGAUCAAACUGUUUCAGAAUAACUUAACUGCAUCAAAGAACAAAGCUCAAAAGUUCAUAAGAAUACAAAAAUAUGCAAGCAAUGAAAACGGCAAAAUUCACAGGGCCUGGCAUCAAAUCAAAGAUUACUGGUUAUGCAAAAAAAAAAAAAAAGCAGAAAAAUAUGACCCAUAAUGAGAAUAAUCAACAAAGCUGACUGAGAAUUUCCAAAGAUGUUAGAAUUAUCAGAGAAGUACAUUAAACAUUUGUUAUCUAUAUUCCGUAUGUUCAAACAGGUAAAUAGAGGAAUAAAAAAUAUUUUCAAACACCCAAAUUUAAUUUCUAGAGAUGAAAACUACAAUGUCUGAGUUGAAGAAAUACACUGGAGGGACAAACAGCACACUAGACAAUGCAGAAGAAAAUAUUUGUGAACUUGAAGGCAUAAAAUAGAAACUACCGAGACUCUGUCUCAAAGAAAAGAAAAAAAGAGCUCUCCCUCUCCCUCUCCCUCUCCCCAUGGUCUCCCUCUCCCCAUGGUCUCCCUCUCAUGCCCAGCCGAAGCUGGACUAUACUGCUGCCAUCUCGGCUCACUGCAACCUCCCUGCCUGAUUCUCCUGCCUCAGCCUGACUGGUUUUCGUAUUUUUUUGGUGGAGAUGGGGUUUCGCUGUGUUGGCCGGGCUGGUCUCCAGCUCCUAACCGCGAGUGAUCCGCCAGCCUCGGCCUCCCGAGGUGCCGGGAUUGCAGACGGAGUCUGGUUCACUCAGUGCUCAAUGGCGCCCAGGCUGGAGUGCAGUGGCGUGAUCUCGGCUCGCUACAACCUCCACCUCCCAGCCG